This 301-nucleotide ribosomal RNA is filed under the name uncultured bacterium. RNAcentral's name for it is "partial 16S ribosomal RNA". It matches the Rfam family "Bacterial small subunit ribosomal RNA", at positions 509 to 809 of the family's 1533-position model. The record is from RNAcentral.
CAGCAGCCACGGGAAAACGAAGGGGGCUAGCGUUGUUCGGAUUUACUGGGCGUAAAGCGCACGUAGGCGGAUGAUUAAGUCAGGGGUGAAAUCCCGAGGCUCAACCUCGGAACUGCCUUUGAUACUGGUCAUCUUGAGUCCGGGAGAGGUGAGUGGAACUGCGAGUGUAGAGGUGAAAUUCGUAGAUAUCAUCAGGAACUCCGGUGGCGAAGGCGGCCCGCUGGACCCCAUCUGACGCUGAGGCGCGAAAGCCAGGGGAGCAAAUGGGAUUAGAUACCCGAGUAGUCCCUGUCUCUUAUAA